AGGGUUGUGAAUUUCAGUUACUCAUAGUCGGCUUCUACUGAACAGUGCUAGCAAUUUACAAGAACUAAAGAUCUUCCCUAUUUUCAGAAGGGUACAGCUCCAGGAUUCCCUAUGGAUAUCUAAAGCUACAAAUAGCAUGGAUUCACCUUUUCACUUCCAAAGCAUAUGUAAGCACCAGUGGAAAUAUGGUUGAGCUAGUCAACUGACUUACACUGACAAAACAAUAGCCUUAUUCCUACAAGUCUCAAGUACUCAAGCAAAGGCUUCGAGAAGCUCCUGACAUGGACUAAAAGAUCUCAACUGUGCCCAAACUAUACAGCAACAAUUUCAAAAAGACAUUUAACAAUGCUGCUAAAUGGAUCACUGCUCCUGUCUAUCCCAUGGAGAUGAUUUUAGUGAGAUGACUAUUCAAGAAGAUGGCUUGCCAUGGCAAGACUUGAUGGAUUUAAUUCAUACCCAAAGUAGCAAGAGCAAUCACUACUUCUGCUCUAGAGAUAGCCAUUUAAAAUUUAACAGAAAUGAGGUAAUCAGUGUAUUUUGAAAAAAUAUAACCUUUCAAUUAAACCUUAAAAAGAUGAAAA
Molecule: long non-coding RNA, 581 nt
Organism: Mastomys coucha (southern multimammate mouse)
Lineage: Eukaryota; Metazoa; Chordata; Mammalia; Rodentia; Muridae
Exons: 3
Source: RefSeq, a predicted model, not a curated record